Molecule: long non-coding RNA, 564 nt
Organism: Eptesicus fuscus (big brown bat)
Lineage: Eukaryota; Metazoa; Chordata; Mammalia; Chiroptera; Vespertilionidae
Exons: 2
Source: RefSeq, a predicted model, not a curated record
GAGGGGCGGGGCCAGCUCGGCACCUGACCUCUCCUUGGCCCCGCCCACUCCGGGAUUCUUAGCCUCAGAUUCAUUUCUGCAGCCCCGCAGUCCCAAAAAAAGAAUGUGGAGUGCUAGGUAGUUAGCACUAACUACUGAAUUUUUAGAAAGUUUUAGAUUUCCUGACUCUGAGAAAGGACCACUAAAGAUGUAAUCCGUUGGCCUUGAGUCAGGCGUUGGUCCACGCGGGGUCAUCCUGGCUCAGGUCCCCUCCUCAGUGCUCCCUCCAACCACCCACUCCGCCCUUCACUCACUGCCAACCCCGCUGCAGAGCAGAGCCCUUACAGAAAUCGGGUAAUACACAGGGACAAGGAGUGGAGGAAGCAUUAUCACUUGCCAUCAUGCAGCCAAGGAUCUGUGUUGGACACAGAAGGAAGUAGAUAGGUUUGGUGCUGGGCUGAGCUGCAGGGAGCCGAGGAGCACACACAUGACCCUCAGUGGGGGCCACAGAGCCUGAGGCAGGACAAGUGAAUGGAGAAGUGGCCCCACCAGUACGUUUCCUGAAAUAAAGUCCUGAGGAGGGAA